Molecule: ribosomal RNA, 253 nt
Filed under: uncultured bacterium
Lineage: Bacteria
Description: partial 16S ribosomal RNA
Rfam family: Bacterial small subunit ribosomal RNA
Source: RNAcentral
UACGUAGGGGGCGAGCGUUGUCCGGAAUCAUUGGGCGUAAAGCGCGUGUAGGCGGCUCGUUAAGUCCGGUGUGAAACCUUGGGGCUCAACCCCAAGCCUGCACUGGAUACUGCCGAGCUAGAGUCCGGGAGGGGAGAGCGGAAUUCCUAGUGUAGCGGUGAAAUGCGCAGAUAUUAGGAAGAACACCGGUGGCGAAGGCGGCUCUCUGGACCAGCACUGACGCUGAGGCACGAAAGCGUGGGGAGCAAACAGG